Molecule: ribosomal RNA, 274 nt
Filed under: uncultured bacterium
Lineage: Bacteria
Description: partial 16S ribosomal RNA
Rfam family: Bacterial small subunit ribosomal RNA
Source: RNAcentral
AUACGGAGGGUGCAAGCGUUAUCCGGAUUUAUUGGGUUUAAAGGGUGCGUAGGCGGAUCGGUCAGUCAGUGGUGAAAUCCCAUAGCUUAACUAUGGAACUGCCAUUGAUACUGCCAAUCUCGAGUAUAGUUGAAGUGGAUGGAAUGUAACAUGUAGCGGUGAAAUGCAUAGAUAUGUUACAGAACACCGAUUGCGAAGGCAGUUCACUAAACUAUUACUGACGCUGAGGCACGAAAGCGUGGGGAGCGAACAGGAUUAGAUACCCUAGUAGUCC